This 497-nucleotide ribosomal RNA is filed under the name uncultured bacterium. RNAcentral describes it as "bacterial SSU rRNA". It matches the Rfam family "Bacterial small subunit ribosomal RNA", at positions 31 to 518 of the family's 1533-position model. The record is from RNAcentral.
GAACGCUGGCGGCAUGCCUAACACAUGCAAAGUCGAACGGAGUAUUUGGAUUCGUCUGGAUAACUUAGUGGCGGACGGGUGAGUAACACGUGAGCAACCCGCCCUCAGAGGGGGACAACAGUUGGAAACGACUGCUAAUACCGCAUAACAUAUACUUAAGGCAUCUUGAGUAUAUCAAAGAUUUAUCGCUGAGGGAUGGGCUCGCGUCUGAUUAGAUAGUUGGUGAGGUAACGGCCCACCAAGUCUACGAUCAGUAGCCGGACUGAGAGGUUGAACGGCCACAUUGGGACUGAGAUACGGCCCAGACUCCUACGGGAGGCAGCAGUGGGGAAUAUUGGUCAAUGGGGGAAACCCUGACGCAGCGACGCCCGCGUGAGCGAAGAAGGCCUUCGGGUUGUAAAGCUCUGUUGUAAGGGACGAAUGUCUAGGGUAGUAACUGACCUUAGAAUGACGGUACCUUACCAGCAAGCCCCGGCUAACUACGUGCCAGCCGCCGC